CAUGGGCCUUUGCAGGAUAC
Molecule: non-coding RNA, 20 nt
Filed under: Rattus norvegicus (Norway rat)
Lineage: Eukaryota; Metazoa; Chordata; Mammalia; Rodentia; Muridae
Source: RNAcentral